GACGAACGCUGGCGGCGUGCUUAACACAUGCAAGUCGAACGGAAAGGCCCUGCUUUUGUGGGGUGCUCGAGUGGCGAACGGGUGAGUAACACGUGAGUAACCUGCCCUUGACUUUGGGAUAACUUCAGGAAACUGGGGCUAAUACCGGAUAGGAGCUCCUGCUGCAUGGUGGGGGUUGGAAAGUUUCGGCGGUUGGGGAUGGACUCGCGGCUUAUCAGCUUGUUGGUGGGGUAGUGGCUUACCAAGGCUUUGACGGGUAGCCGGCCUGAGAGGGUGACCGGCCGCAUUGGGACUGAGAUACGGCCCAGAGUCCUACGGGAGGCAGCAGUGGGGAAUAUUGCACAAUGGGCGGAAGCCUGAUGCAGCAACGCCGCGUGCGGGAUGACGGCCUUCGGGUUGUAAACCGCUUUCGCCUGUGACGAAGCGUGAGUGACGGUAAUGGGUAAAGAAGCACCGGCUAACUACGUG
This 468-nucleotide ribosomal RNA is filed under the name uncultured bacterium. Its description in RNAcentral is "partial 16S ribosomal RNA". It matches the Rfam family "Bacterial small subunit ribosomal RNA", at positions 28 to 507 of the family's 1533-position model. The record is from RNAcentral.